GUCAGCGGCGGACGGGUGAGUAACACGUGGGUAACCUGCCUGUAAGACUGGGAUAACUCCGGGAAACCGGGGCUAAUACCGGAUGCUUGAUUGAACCGCAUGGUUCAAUCAUAAAAGGUGGCUUUUAGCUACCACUUACAGAUGGACCCGCGGCGCAUUAGCUAGUUGGUGAGGUAACGGCUCACCAAGGCGACGAUGCGUAGCCGACCUGAGGGGGUGAUCGGCCACACUGGGACUGAGACACGGCCCAGACUCCUACGGGAGGCAGCAGUAGGGAAUCUUCCGCAAUGGACGAAAGUCUGACGGAGCAACGCCGCGUGAGUGAUGAAGGUUUUCGGAUCGUAAAACUCUGUUGUUAGGGAAGAACAAGUACCGUUCGAAUAGGCGCGCUACCUUGACGGUACCUAACCAGAAAGCCACGGCUAACUACGUGCCAGCAGCCGCGGUAAUACGUAGGUGGCAAGCGUUGUCCGGAAUUAUUGGGCGUAAAGCGCGCGCAGGCGGUUUCUUAAGUCUGAUGUGAAAGCCCCCGGCUCAACCGGGGAGGGUCAUUGGAAACUGGGGAACUUGAGUGCAGAAGAGGAGAGUGGAAUUCCACGUGUAGCGGUGAAAUGCGUAGAGAUGUGGAGGAACACCAGUGGCGAAGGCGACUCUCUGGUCUGUAACUGACGCUGAGGCGCGAAAGCGUGGGGAGCGAACAGGAUUAGAUACCCUGGUAGUCCACGCCGUAAACGAUGAGUGCUAAGUGUUAGAGGGUUUCCGCCCUUUAGUGCUGCAGCAAACGCAUUAAGCACUCCGCCUGGGGAGUACGGUCGCAAG
Molecule: ribosomal RNA, 819 nt
Filed under: Bacillus licheniformis
Lineage: Bacteria; Bacillati; Bacillota; Bacilli; Caryophanales; Bacillaceae
Description: bacterial SSU rRNA
Rfam family: Bacterial small subunit ribosomal RNA
Source: RNAcentral